AAUGAAAACAAUAGCAAGGAACUGCUGGAGGACACAGAGCUGGAAUAAUGAAGAGGGAACAGCCAGAGAUGUCAAAUGAACUCUGAAAAUAGAUGUGGCUUAAUGAGUGUGGAGAGGUUGGCUUUAUCCAAACAGGCAGAUUCAACCAGCCUUGAGAGUCAGCUCUCUCCACAAAUUUGACAAAGGGAGACAAAAUGGCUGCUGUUGAACAAUGGUGGACUCAAAUUCUUUCUUGACCUUAGUGCACAGUUCCUUCUCCAUCACAGAAGCUCCUCUGGAACCCACACCAACCCCUACAAGAGAAGAUCUGGCUGUUUGGCUCAGGGCCCAAGGUGAGCACUGAAUUGUAGAAUUUGAAGACUAGAGGACCUUAAUUAAGCAAAAGCAUAUUAACUUCUCUGAGGAUAAUUCAUCGUCUGUAAAAAGGAACAGAGAACACUGAUGGGCUUUCCUCAGAGAUACUACAAGAUGCUGACUGUAAUCAUCUGAAGUCUGAUGCGAGCCGGAGGAUCUGCUUCCCAGGUUGUUUAUAUCUCACAUGAUUGGCAAGUCGGGCCAGUCACGGGGAUGACUGCGCAGCCUCACAGCACGGUGGCUGGCUUCCCCCAGAACAAGUAAUUUCAUAGACUGAGAAGCCUCAGUGCCUCUUAUGACCUAUCCUUGGAAUUCACACAUCAUCUUC
Molecule: long non-coding RNA, 682 nt
Organism: Fukomys damarensis (Damara mole-rat)
Lineage: Eukaryota; Metazoa; Chordata; Mammalia; Rodentia; Bathyergidae
Exons: 4
Source: RefSeq, a predicted model, not a curated record